UUAUCUUAGUGAUUUACCUCUCUUCCUCUAUCCAGAUGUAGAGAGAGCACCUUCCUCACAGGCCAAUAGUGUGACAAGGCUGUGAUAUCCAGUCCUUGAAUUCUGCCAGCUACGACGCUUUCUUGAUCUGUACGUUUUCCCUUACAAAUGUACUAUAGUUUGGAGAAACAGCAUCUAAACAUCCAUGUAGUAGGUCAGAACUUUCUUUGUUGUGGGCUUUUUCAGCACGAUUUAUCUUGAUGAACAUUCUCAGAAUGGCAGCUUGCCUUGAUGUUGGCAUAGCUCAUGCAUGUAUGUUCAGGACUCCAUUCAACAAAAUAGCUGCAUUUGAAAUUCCUGAAGCUAAUUGUGCUGCUACUUUAAAAAAAAAAUAUAAAAAAAUUCUAAUCUGACCUAGAGGUAAGUUUCUGUGGGGCUUAGCCCUAGGCCUAGCUUUCGUGGUUCUCUCUGCCUGCAUCAGUACGCAGGAACAGCCAGCAACUGAUGCUGUCCUCGGCCACCAGCUAUCCUUCAGCGCAUGUUUUACCGACACAUCUCAGCACGAGCAAACUGUUUAGAAGAAAACUCUGACCUAUUG
This 577-nucleotide long non-coding RNA is filed under the name Numida meleagris (helmeted guineafowl). RNAcentral describes it as "lncRNA (ENSNMEG00000014885.1)". The record is from RNAcentral. Lineage: Eukaryota; Metazoa; Chordata; Aves; Galliformes; Numididae.